GUAACGCCCACGAUGCGGCUAUAUCUCCCACGUGUCGAGGCACGACUUAGAGGCAUAACCGCAUUGUGGUUUGUCGCAAGAAGGGUCAUCUUCACACAAUCCCAUGUAAUGAACAAGAAUGGGAUAAAGAGUUGGCUUACAAUCGCCACUUCACAUAAUACAUAAAUAAAACAUACAUCAUUCAGAGUACACACAUAGACCGACUACGGUCAAAACCAAAAGAAAAGAAGAUAACCCAACUGCUAGAUUCCUGAUCGUCCCAACUGGGCACCACUACUGAUCAAAAUGAAAAGAAACAACACAACGAACAAGAUCUUCAUCGAGCUCCCACUUGAGCUCGGUUGCGUCACCUGCACUGGUAUCAUCGGCACCUGCAACUGUUUUGGAAGUAUCUGUGAGUCACGAGGACUCAGCAAUCUCACACCCGCGAGAUCAAGACUAUUUAAGCUUAAAGGAAAGGAUGGGGUAAUGAGGUGGAGCUGCAGCAAGCACUAAGCUUAUAUGGUGGCUAACAUACGCAAAAGAGAGCGAGAAGAGAAGCAACGGAACGGUCGUGAACUAGCAAUGAUCAAGAAGUGAUCCUGAACUCCUACUUACGUCAAACAUAACCCAGAAACCGUGUUCACUUCCCGGACUCCGCCGAGAAGAGACCAUCACGGCUACACACGCGGUUGAUGCGUUUUAAUUAGGGUCAAGUGUCAAGUUCUCUACAACCGGAUAUUAACAAAUUCCCAUCUGCCACAUAACCGCGGGCAGAGCUUUCGAAAGAUAAUACCCUGCAGGGGUGUCCCAACUUAGCCCGUCAUAAGCUCUCACGGUCAACGAAGGAUAAACCUUCUCCCGGAAAGACCCGAUCAGUCUCGGAAUCCCGGUUUACAAGACAUUUCGACAAUGGUAAAACAAGACCAGCAAAGCCGCCCGAUGCGCCGACAAAUCCUGAUAGGAGCUGCACAUAUCUCAUUCUCAGGGCACACCGGAUGAGACAUCCUACGAGUAAAACCAGACCUCGAGUUUCCAUGAGGGGGCCCCGCAGUCUACUCAGUUCGGACCAACACUCGAAGGAGCACUGGCCCGGGGGGGGUUAAAAUAAGAUGACCCUCGGGCUCGCGAAAACUCGGGGGAAAGGCUUACGUGGCAAAUGGUAAAACAAGGUUGGGCCUUGCUGGAGGAGUUUUAUUCAAGGCGAACUGUCAAGGGGCUCCCAUAAAUCACCCAACCGCAUAAGGAACGCAAACUCAAGGAACAUAAUACCGGUAUGACAGAAAACUAGGGCGGCAAGAGUGGAACAAAACACCAGGCAUAAGGCCGAGCCUUCCACCCUUUACCGAAUAUAUAGAUGCAUUAAUUAAAUAAGAGAUAUUGUGAUAUCCCAACAUAUCCAUGUUCCAACAUGGAACAAACUUCAACUUCACCUGCAACUAGCAACGCUAUAAGAAGGGCUGAGCAAAAGCGGUAACUUAGCCAAACAACGGUUUGCUAGGAAAGGAUGGUUAGAGGCUGACAUGGCAAUAUGGGAGGCAUGAUAUAGCAAGUGGUAGGUAGCGCAGCAUGGCAAUAGAGCGAACACUACCAAAGCAAAGAUAGAAGUGAUUUCGAGGGGUGGUCAUCUUGCCUGAGAUCCCGCUAGGAGGAAGAGCGAGUCCAUGAAGAAGACAAACGGAUGUAGUCGAACGAAUCCUCACAACUCCGGAACGAAACCGAAGCUAACGAGAGAAGCAACCCGGAAAGAAACAAACAACAUAGUAAACAACCAUCACGUACACAUGGCAUGAUGCAAAAACAAACAUGAUGCAUGUCCGGUUUAAAAAGGCAUGGCAUGGCAAAGUGCACAAACGAAACUACAAGUUAAAUGGAGCUCAAUAUGCAACGAGUUGCAUAUUGACGAAACACCACAUUCCAAACAUUUAGUUCGCUCUUGUUUAUGCACCCAGCAAUAUUAAAUGUUAAUAAACAUGGCAAGGGGCGAAGCAUAUGGAAACUACCUAUUUAGGCAAGUUUACAUGAGGCCGGAACAACAAACAACAAUUCCGGAAAAUCCUCAUAUGCAUAUUUCGAAUUUGCUACUGUUCUGCCCUAAACACAAUUUUAAUGUUGUUAAACAGCAAAAUAAAGUGCACCAUGUUAAACUAGGCAUUUUUCUACCCCAUUUACAUAUAACGUUUAUUAAAAUCCGAGUUACGGUUAUUUAGCUAUGAAAUAAAUCAUUUUAACAUGGCAUUCGAGCAAAUUAAAUAAACAUCACUUUAAACAUAUUAAACAUGGGUGCAAGCAGCAUAUUAUUAAACUACACAAAUUUCUGAGCAUUUUACAUAUUUAGAUUAUUUUAAUCCGAUGCACGGUUGUGAAGUUAUUAAAUGCAUGAAGUGCAAGGGUUUUCCUGUAAAACUGUAAUUCCUGGAAUAAUCCUAAAAUCGCAGAUCUGGGGGAAAAACUACUCGGGCCGAAACUGCACUUGGGCCAAAAGGAACAGGAGCUGGGGGGCAGCUCACCUUGUGGGCCUUGGCCCAGGUCGGUGAAGCAGCAGGCUAGCGGGAAGCUGGACUUGGCGCGGCGCUGGGCCUCGCGGGCAGAUCAAAGCGAGGCAGGGCGUGGUCAACACGCAGCCGACGCGCGGUCGAGCAGAGGAGGCUUCGCGUGGCCGACGUGGCUGGUGACGUGGUCAACGCGCAGGCAGAGGAGGCGCAUGGGGCAGCAGCGACGGGGUAGAGCGCUCGAACUCGAGCUCCCGAACAAAGACGAACGCGGCGGCGGGCGCAUGCAAGAUCCGGCGACGCGGAUCCUGUCCAAGACAGGCGCGGGAGAUGAGAUCCGAUGCGAGGAAGUGGAUUCGGCCAGGGACGACACCUUGGCGAAGCAGGGGAGGUCCGGGACAAGCUGUACGCGGCCUCCGGCAGCGGGGAUGGGGCCCUGCCGGUGGGAUCCGGCCGGGAACGGGCAAGGGCGACGAAGGUCGGCAGGGUCUGGUGGUGGAGAUGAGGCCCCGACACUAGCGCGAUGCAGCAGCGGGGUUCGGACGGCCAUGGCAGGACUCCUGCUUCUGUUGGACCAUGAGAGGGAAAACGAGGUCAGGAGGGGGAGAGAGAGCGGAGGUGCGGCAAGAAGGGAAGGAGGGCGACGUAGCUUAGCUGCUGCUGGUGGUGGUAGACGGUGGGGACGGCACGAGGAGGGGAACGGCGGGGAGCUUGAUGCAGCGGCCAUGGUGGUCUUCUGUGAGCGAAAACAGAGAGAGGGAGGGGGAGAUCGUGAGAAAGAGAGGUAGAGAAGCAGGAGGGGAAAAUAGCGGGGUUGUCGGGGCACUCAUCUGCUGGUGGUACUCUUCGGCGGAGGGAGCUCCGGAGGUCGGCCGGCGACGGGUGAGACGAGGUGAGGAGGAGGCGCUCGGGACAGGAGCUGGCUGCGGGAGGAGCGGGAGAGGAGGAGCUCCUCUGGUUGGCCGGGUGGAUCGAGGGGAGGCCUCGGGUGCCAGUUGGUUAGGAGAGAGGAUCGGGAGGGAUCCCGAUGUGGAGUGGCGGCGGCCGAAAGGGAAUGAUGGGACAAGCCCCUAGGAUCUAGGGUUAGACUGAUAUUUAUAUCAGAUGAAUUUAGGUUAGGGGAUACCUCAUCCCUACGAUCAUAAUCGAACGGCUGAGAAAAAUAGGUAGGGAGUCCAAAUAACAAAACGGAGAUAUUUUAUAGAUGUUAGGGGAUGAUCCGGACCCAACGGUAACAACAAACCGGGUCGGGUACGGGACAACUUUCGGACGCGCGCGAGGGGGUGGGUGGUUGACGAGAGAGGUUAGUUGGUUUGACAAGAGGGAACCGAAAACACGGUUGGUCUCGGAACGGUCAACGAAGACAAGGGGGAACGCGGCAACUACUAAUGAAUGCAAAUUUUUAAAACAUGACGGCAACGAAGUGCCGAUGCAAUGCAAAUGAUGCGAUGAUGAAUGCAACACACAAAUAAAACUCAACUGACUCGCAAAAACAAGGAAGGCAAUCGAAGCGUCGGUCUCGGGGCGUUACAACACUCCACCACUACAAGAGGAUCUCGUCCCGAGAUCUAGGAUGGCACCGGAGAAAAACGGAAGAGGAAGAGAAAAGGUAAAGCUAAGUUGCUUCUUUGACAAACGAGUGAAACCAAAGAACCUUGAGAGGUCGCAAAGCUUGAAGAAAUGACACGACAGAGGUGAACAAAAUUGAGAAGACUCCGGUAGAAAAGAGAGACAAGGAACACCAUGAGAACCUUGAGGUUAAGUGACACAAUAGAUAUUUAAACCACUUCGGUUAAAACAAGAUAGAGAAGGAAUAAGAAUGAUAUAAUUUGGGCAGCACUCCGACUGUAAAUGGAAGGAAUUGAACAUGAUCUUGACAAGAUGAGAGGAUACUCGAUGAAAUUACCAACACAUUCCCUCCGGAACUAAUGAAAGAAUGACACAAGGGGUAAGAAAGAUUUCAGACAGCACUCCGGUUGAGGAAGGAGACAAAACUUGAUAAGAUGAGAGAACUCGAAUGAAAACACGACACUCCGGCUAAACGGAUAAGAAAGGAAAAAUUACAUGAUCUUGACAAAACAAGAUGAUUGGUCGAAGAGAGCAACAUCACAAUGCCUCCGGGACGAACGAAUAGAAGAUAGAUCGUCGGAAUAAGAUAACGGAGAAGAAAAUGACAACUUCUGCCACAAAUGAGCUUGGAAAGCAUCCUUCCAAGAAGGUUAUAACGGAGUUGUUGGAAAAAAACCAACAACAAAAGGAUAUGAUCCUCAUGGGCUUAUGGAGACAUCUCAAAACAUGAGGUGAAAAUUUUGCCACUAACGAAAACAAUUGCUUGCUUGAGAUCAACGAAGAGAUGAAAUCUUCUCUCGCCGAGAGGAUAGGAGAAAACUUGGAUCAUUGAUAAGCACCAUAAUAGCAACAUUCCUUAGGGAAGGCUUUAGGUGAAACAUGACACAAGAUAGAUCCAACGAAGAGAUUGGUGGAUUUAAAAUAUCUCAUUCUUGACAACAUAUGAAUCAUGAAACGCGAACUCAAAUUGUCAAGAAUGACAUAACACCACCUCAAAAGAUAAGAGAAAGAAUUGCACUUCGGAAUGCAAGAUGAAGAAUACUUGAACUCCUCAAAACAAGACAUGUGUUGAACACCAUGUUAAUUUUUUGAGUAUAGCCUGGCGGAUCAUAACUUCAAGAGAAAUCUUGAAGAACAAUCGAAAAAUGAAAGGAAUCCUUGACGAACCACCAUGUAGAGCCUCCAUGAAGAACUCCGGUAAUAAAAGAAUGAUCAAACGAAAUGGAAAGUUGAAAAGAACUCCGGGAGAAGCCUUGCAAUGAUUUAGAUGGAGCUUUGAAAUGAUAUAAUUGAAAUAACUUGGAGCUCCGGAAAGAAAGAUGAACAAUUAAAUCAAGAAUUUGAUAUCAUGAACGAACUCCGGAAGAAGGAAUUAAUCACUUGGAGGAAACAAGAAUAAGAAUUACAUUAUGCUUAGCCUUCACCAAUUUAGAUUGAUGACAAGCAACGGUUGCAGGUGCUGACGAUGCCAGUGCAGAUGAUGGGAUCGAUCUCAAGUGGGAGUUCGAUGAGGAACGUUGUCGAUACUAUGUGUCUUUUCCGGAUGAUCAGUAGUGGAGCCCAGUUGGGACGAUCGGGGAUCUAGCAUUUGGGGUUAUCUUAUUUUCAUUUGGAUCUUGACCGUAGUCGGUCUAUGUGUGUAUUUUGGAUGAUGUAUGGAUUAUAUUUAUGUAUUGUGUGAAGUGGCGAUUGUAAGCCAACUCUUUAUCCCAUUCUUGUUCAUUACAUGGGAUUGUGUGAAGAUGACCCUUCUUGCGACAAAACCACAAUGCAGUUAUGCCUCUAAGUCAUGCCUCGACACGUGGGAGAUAUAGCCGCAUCGUGGGCGUUACAAGGGGGUCCCGAACUAUGCGUCUAGGGUCGAUGGUUAUAGGAGACAGGGGACACAAUGUUUACCCAGGUUCGGACCCUCUCUAUGGAGGUAAUACCCUACUUCCUGCUUGAUUGAUCUUGAUGAAUAUGAGUGUUACAAGAGUUGAUCUACCACGAGAUCGUAAUGGCUAAACCCUAGAAGUCUAGCCUAUAUGACUAUGGUAAUGAGUAUAUGCUUUCCGGACUACACCCUCCGGUUUAUAUAGACACCGGGGGGAUCUAGGGUUACAUAGAGUCGGUUACAUAAGAAGGAAUCUUCAUAGUUGAUCGUCAAGCUUGCCUUCCACGCCAAGGAGAGUCCAAUCCGAACACGGGUACAGUCUUCGGCCUUCAUGUCUUCACAACCCAUCAGUCCGGCCCAUGGAUAGCAGGCCGGAUGCCCGAGGACCCCUUAGUCCAGGACUCCCUCAGUAGCCCCUGAACCUGGCUUCAAUGACAAGGAGUCAGGCGCGCAGAUUGUCUUCGGCAUUGCAAGGCGGGUUCCCUUCUAUCCGAACUCGAAGAUAAUCUUUGGAUGUGAUGAUAGUAUCCGGACCUGCCACAUCAUAUACAAACGCAGAGAUAAUAUAACUUUUUGUAGCACGACAUUACGUCUGACCGGUCAUAACUUCGAACCGUUUUCGCGUUCACCGCCCCACGUUCCAAGACGCGGUUGCCAUUGGCACGUCUUGUCAAAGCAAAGAUCGUGUCCCCUUAUCGCGGGAUUCUCAUCAAUGCGGGCAUGGGUAACCCAACCGUGCCAUUUACACAGGCCUUGGGAAUAGGCGAGCUUUCAGGGCGAGUGGGGAGGCGCUUGAUAUUCGCGGCCUUUAUAAGGGGAUAAGGAUUCCCUUCCUUCACCCACACCCUUUCUCUCCUUCUGUCCUUCCGUCCUUGAGCUCCAGCGCCCAAGCUUUAGCUUUUCCUCGCUCAAGAAAGCACUCCAAACAUGUCCGGAUCCGGAGCUGGAGGCAAGUGGAUGGCCUCCUCUGUUAAGAAGAAGGACAUCACGGAGCUCCAGGAGGCCGGAUAUCUGGCCAAGGAGAUCGCUCACCGACUCCCGGCCAAAGGGCAAAUAGUCCCCACUCCAGAGCCCCGUGAGAGGGUUGUGUUUUUCACACACUUCGUCCGCGGGCUGGGAUUCCCUCUCCACCCGUUCGUCCGCGGACUGAUGUUUUACUAUGGGCUGGACUUUCACGACCUAGCCCCCAAUUUCAUUCUCAACAUCACGUCAUUCAUUGUCGUGUGCGAGGCCUUCCUCCGCAUCCCACCUCAUUUCGGCCUAUGGCUGAAAACCUUUAAUGUGAAGCCGAAAGCGGUGAGUGGCCAACAAGCAUAGUGCGGAGGCGCCAUGGUGGGUAAGAUGCCCAAUGUUACCUGGCCCGAAGGCUCCUUUGAGGAAACGGGGAAGGGGUGGCAAUCGGGGUGGUUCUACAUCACCGAGCCUCGCGACACUGACUGGGCGGCGGCCCCUGAAUUCCGAUCCGGAAUCCCGAUGCGGCUCACCUCUUGGCAAGAGAGGGGCCUAACCUGGGGUCCCUCGAGCGAGCUGACUGGGCUCCAGACGUGCAUCCAGAACAUGAUAGACAGGAAAAUCAAGCUCGUCAACGUGAUCCAGGUCAUGCUCAUUCGUCGGGUUCUUCCGUGCCAACGCCGGACUUGCUAUCUGUGGGAGUAUGAUCCGGCCAAGCACCAGACGCUACUGGAGCUCUUCGGCACGAGGCACGAAGACAUCUGGAAAGUGCUCUUCAAGGCCGGCGAGACACCACCGCCCACGACUGAGGAUCGCGGGCUCAACUUAAAACGCCAGGCUAAUUUGGUAAGUUGUUUCAUGUCUUCAAGGCAUACCUUUUACUAGCAUAUUUUGAGGAAAAAGCCUAAGCCUUCCUAUCCAUGUUUUCAGGCCUGGAUCGAGGUAGCAGGGGGGAUUAACUACCCAACUCCGCUGCCCGAAGACCCCGAAUUUCCAUUACUGAUGAAAAGCUGUUUCCAGCACCUUAUGAGGUGCCGGAGAAGACAACCAAGAAAGCGGCCAAAGGGGACCCAGAGGGGCCCUCGCCGAAAAGGCGCUCCGAACAUGAUGUCCAAAGACGAGACUCGCUCUUUGUCGGCCGAGGACGAUGACGAGGAGGAGGAAGAGGGAGACAACUCCCCACCCGAGGCGGGGAGGAAGAAGAGAACGACCCCCACAAAUUUGGAGGCGAAGGUGCCCAAGAGGGGGAAAGGCUUCCCCGCGGAUAACUCCGCGUGGGAUGUCGAUAGCAGUCCGGAGCGGCCUUCCCGGGCCAAGCCUCGGGCCGCAUCGUAAGUAUCAAAAAUCUUUAUGCACGACCGAACGUCCGUCCUUUCUGCCUUGCAAUGUUUGAAUCGUGUUAUUGCAGUCUGGCUCGGGACAACUCUCCGCUAUCUUCAUCAGAAGGUUCACUGGACCCAAAGGAGAGGGCCAGCAUGUCACCGCCGCCCGCUUACUCCCCUUCGGCCAAGGGUGAUGACAAGGAGGCAUCUCAAAGGGCCUCCUCGGACCGGGGGAAGGCUCCGGAGAUCAUCAGGGUGGUGCCCUAGGAUGACUCCCGGGCCGCCGGAUACAUGGGGGAAAAAGCCCCUACGGAGACGGACGGUGCGGGCCGAGUUCUACUCGACCCUCAGCCGGAUUCUAUUCUGGAGACCUAUACGGCUCCGGAGUCCGGCAAAUGGCCCUUCCCAAAAGGAGGGGGUGUGCUACCUAUGUCCUCUGUCCAACCGGAGGCGCCAGAUCAUCUACUGGAAGCGCUGCAAGGCGCCUCCAUUGUGGAUGAGCACCGUGCCCAUAUGGGUAUGGUGAUUAAAAGGGUUCAGUCCGCCAAAAACGGACUGACCGAAGCCUGCGCUAGCCUUCUAGCAAGCUUUGAGGUGAGUAAUGUAAUUGUAAGAAGAAUAUCACAGUGUAGACAGUAGCCCCUGAUGCUCUGUUCGGUGUCCGGAAAGAAAAGCCGAACAGAGGAUCAAAAUUAAUUUUCGCAGGAGUCUAACAUAAGGUGUCUAUGUGAAUAAGCAGGCCUCGUUGCGGGCUGCUACCACUCAAACCGCGGAGGUCUCCGAACUAAAGCAGAAACUGGAGCGGGCCGAGGAAGAGCUCGGCCUCGUGAAGAAGCAGCUGGAAGAUAGCCAAGGUAUGCAGUAACCUGCGUGUAUUAUUGAAGAAUAAAUGGUUCAAGCUAACUAAAGUGUCAUGAACUUUACUAGGGGCCACGACCGAGGUGGCGGCCCUCAAAAAGGCGUUAGCCGAGGACGAAGAAAAAGCGGCCAAGGAACAUGCCGCACGCGAGAAGCACGAGGCCAGGGUCAGCAAGAUUCAGCACGAGCUCCAGGACGCCGUCAAGAAGUACGAGUCCUUGGAGCGUGCUUCUAAGACACAAGAAUCCGAACUUGCUAAGUCCCACAAGAGCACGCAAGAUGCCCGAGCCGAAGCCCAGAGCACCCUCUGGGAAAUCUAGGCGGCCAAGAAGAUUGCGGCGGGUAAGGCUGUCACUAUGCAAGGCAAGUAUGCAAAGGGAACGGUCCUUAUACUUACCCGAACUUUGUGUUUUCUAGGGGCAUUUACAGAUCUGCCGCGCAACGUAUCGGAUGCUGCCGAGUUCUAUCGGGCCGAAGAAGGGAUGUCUACGGAGAAGCUGUUCUGGUCCCAAUACCUUGGACCAGAACAUCCGGUGCCCUUUAGCGACCAAUUGAAACAGAUGGUCGAGCUGCACAAGUUAGCUGAGCUAGCCAUGAAGGACCUGAUAGUCCGGCUGUGGCAUGUCGAGCCCGUGCCCGACAGCUACUUUGGACUUGUGCGUCGGCUUGUGAGUGCCUGUCCACGGCUUGAAGUCGUGAAGCGGUCGGUCUACAUUGAGGGUGCACGGAUGGCAUUCGCGCGCGUCAAGACGCACUGGGCGAAGAUGGAUGCCAAGAAGUUGAUGACCGAAGGACCACCUGAGGGCAAGGAGCAUCGGCGACCCGAGCUGUAUUUUGACGGUGUCCUGGAGGGAUCCCACCUUGUGGCGGAGCAAUGUGCGAAGGACGUGAUAUUCCCAUGAAAACAUUCGGGUUGUCCUGUAAUAUGAAACAAGAUUGGCAUGUAAUAUGAUGCUUGUGAUUAAAUUUCACCUCCUGUGCGGCCGUUUAUUAAAAUCUGAGGGUUGACCAAUCGUCGGCUUCUGACCCACGUAGAUAGUACGGGGGUGUUCGGGAUAAAUCUAAACACUCUUUACUCCACCUUCUGGUCCUUAAAGGAGGUGUUUAGCGCAACGAACAAGGCAAUCAGACUAUAGGGCCUUUAUUACCCUCACUUAGCCAUAGGAGUUUGACCAUGAAAAUUUCGGCGAAGCCCCUGGUGUUCGAAAGGCCGAACUAGGGGCGUUAUAUACGCCUAAUCGGAGAAAACUGAUUCCUCGCAUAAAGCGGAAAAAAUCUCUAGGGAUUUGAGACCUCUCGAACAGCUGACCGGCUCUCGCCACAUCAUGACACAGUUUUCAGCUUUCUCUACUGAGGUGCUCGUCCGGACGAACCGGGACACAAUCGCAGUAGUUCUCCCUUUACUACCUUAGCCGAUAUAGUGGAACAUAAGGUAGCAAACACAGGAGCCGGGUAACCCAACUAUUGACCAAAGACAUGAUUCAGAGCCGAUGCAUAUAACGCUAUAAGUUCGGGGUGUCGAACAGUACUGUAAAAGUGUUCGGACUUUUGUCACAGUAAUGCGGGGCGUGAUGAAGCCCCUGGCGCAGUAAUACAUACCAGAAUGUACGCGUGCAACGAGUGAUAAAUAAAAAGGAAAAAGGGGGAGAGUAAGUAAUAAACUAACGCUGCCCUUUAUAAUGUGAUUAAUACGUGGAGGCGUAUUUGUGCAUGUAAUAUGGUAAGCAAAAGAGGCUUUUUAACAUGCGAAAACCAAGUGCGAGCUGCGUGCGGGUAUGUAAAACAGGUAUAGCAAUCGUUAACGAGGGCCACCUGAGGGUUCCCUUGUGCGCCAAAGCUCCUUGCCUCCUUGGUGUGCCCAACAAACGGGUUGUUAGAAGAAACCUCGAAAACAGAGAAAGGAUCUGAAAGGGAAAAGAAAAGGUACGCGAAUCCUGGGGUCGGUCGAGCCGCACUGUGGAUCGCGAGCUAGCUAUGCCUCCGUCCAUGUCCAUGGGUUUUUAGGCGCGUAGUUAUGUACGCGUGGUACGAGUGCCACUCCUUUAUCGGGGCUGGGACGGAGGCCAAAUUGCCAAUCAAGCUCUUGAUGAGCCGAGCUGUCCUGUUGCAGUGUAGUCCGGACCCUCUUAACGAUGUCCAGGGGCUCGACAGCCGGAUUAUAGUUCUACUUGAGAAGGCCAUUCUGUACCUCUACUGCUAGGGCGGCUGUGUGCUCCUCAGUACAGAGGGAGCGUUCCGUGUUUCCAUUAACUGUUAUGACGCCGUGCGGACCGGGCAUCUUGAGCUUGAGAUAAGCAUAGUGUGACACCACGUUGAAUAUUGCAAACGCGGUUCGUCCGAGCAGUGCGUGGUAGCCGCUGCAGAAGGGGACGAUAUCGAAGAUUAGCUCUUCGCUUCGGAAGUUAUCCGGGGAACCGAAUACCACCACCGGCGUAAUUAAGCCCGUACAACGGGCCUCUACACCUGGUAUGACUCCUUUAAAGGUAGUCUUCGUGGGAUUAAUGCCCAUUUUGUGCACUGUAUCCUGAUAGAGCAGGUUGAGGCUGCUACCACCGUCCAUUAGGACUCCUGUUAGGUGAAAUCCGUCUAUGAUUGGGUCAAGGAAUAGUGCGGCCGAACCUCCAUGACGGACACUAGUUGGAUGAUCUCGACGAUCAAAGGUGAUCGGAAAUGACGACCACGGAUUGAAUUUUGGGGCGACUGGCCCUAUCGCAUAGACGUCCCUGAGUGCGCGCUUGUGCUCUCUUUUGGGUAUGUGUGUAGCAUAUAUCAUGUUCACCGUUUUGACUGGAGGGGGAAAUUUCUUCUGUUGUCCAGUGUUCGGCUGCCGGGGCUCUUCGUCGUCGUCCUCGCUUUGCGAUCCCAUUUCCUUGCUCUCAGUGUUUGACUUGCUGGCUUGCUUAAAAACCCGGCAAUCUCUGUUGGUAUGAUUGGCUUGUUUGUCUGGGGUGCCAUGUAUCUGCCACGGACGAUCGAGUAUGCGGUCCAAGCUGGAUUGUCCCUCGUUGUUCCUUUUAUAAGGCUUCUUCCGCUGGCCGGACUUGGAGCCACGGAAUCCGGCGUGAACUGCAGUGUCGUCGGUGUUAUCGCCAUUACUUGCCGGUGUUGUUCCUGGCCUCGAAGGGGCCUGCCUCGCUGGCUGUGUUUUUGCUAUGAGCCAGCCAGCUAUCCUCUCCCGCGCAAAAGCGGGUCAUGAGUGUUGUGAGGGCUGCCAUGGAUUUCGGCUUUUCUUGGCCGAGGUGGCGGGCGAGCCAUUCGUCACGGAUGCUGUGUUUGAAGGCUGCUAGGGCUUUGGCAUCCGGACAGUCAACGAUCUGGUUCUUUUUGGUUAGGAACCUAGUCCAGAAUUUUCUAGCUGAUUCUCCAGGUUGUUGGACUAUAUGACUUAAGUCAUCGGCAUCUGGUGGCCGGACAUAAGUACCUUGGAAGUUGUCAAGGAAAGCUUCUUCCAAGUCCUCUUAGCUGCCGAUGGAAUUUUCAGGCGGGCUAUUUAGCCAGUGUCUAGCCGGCCCUUUUAAAUUUAGUGGGAGGUACUUGAUGGCGUGGAGGUCGUCUCCUCGGGCCAUAUGAAUGUGGAGAAUAAAAUCCUCGAUCCAUACUGCGGGAUCGGUUGUUCCGUCGUAUGAUUCAAUAUUGACAGGCUUGAACCCCUCGGGGAAUUCAUGAUCCAGUACUUCGUCUGUGAAGCAGAGAGGGUGUGCGGCGCCUCUAUAUCGGGCCGCGUUGCGACGCACCUCCAAUGAAGUCCGUCUGCGUUUAUCGGUCCGGGCGUCCGAAUAGGUAGCCGUCAUCCCGAGUCGGGAAGCGUCCUCACGAUCCGUAGAUUGAUCUGGUGUGUCCUGCUCUACUGUCCAGGUCCUGCCGAAGGUCGUAUGUAUGGUCCCGAGCUGUUUUGUCUCUGUUUUUACGAGGCGGUGGGGCGGGCUGUUGUUCGGCCUGAGUUGCCGUUUUAUCCCGACCGCGAGGUGGUCGGUCCGCUGCACUAUCCCGACCACGUGGUGGUCGUUCCGCAUUGCGCGAGGGAGGUAUUGUCUCUGGUACCUUCUCGUCGAACUGAGGUAGCAGUCUGCGCUUCGGGUAACUCUUGGCUGGGUGCUUGAGGCCAUAUUCUUCGGCUGCCAGGACAUCAGUCCAGCAGUCAAUGAGUAGGUCUUGAUCGGCUUGAAGCUGCUGCUGCUUUUUCUUCAGGCUUCUUGCAGUAGCUAUUAGCUGGCGCUUGAAGCGCUCCUGCUCGAGGGGUGCCUCAGGCAUGAUGAAAUCCUCGCUGCAAAGGUUCUCCUCAUCCUCGGAGAGUGGACGACAACUAUCGUCAUCCGGGUCAUUGGGCAUGGCCUGUUUAUCAGGGUUAACUUGCCCGUUGUCUUGUUCCUCAUGUUCGGAUGUUGCUCCAAUAGGGUCUUCAUUGUUUUCGGCGUCGCCGGAGUACUAUUUUCUCCGGUGCCAGUGUUGCCAUUUUUUGAGCGACAUGGCUUAGAACGGUGUUUAGGGCGCCGGCGCUUGGACUGUGUCUUAGAAGGUUUAUUCGCAACUGAAUCUUCUUUGUCACCGUCGCUAGUGUUUUUAGGUGUGUCAACCAUGUACACAUCGUAUGAAGAGGUGGCCGUCCAACGUCCAGUGAAUAGUGGGUCUUGGCCUUGCUCCUUGUCGGCAUCGUCAUCCAUACUGUCGAUGUCUUCGGAGCCAUAAUCAAGCAGGUCGGUUAAGUCCUCGAUAGUGGCUAUGAAGUGGGUGGCGGGUGGGAAGCGAAAUUCCCCCUCAUCAGCUUCUAGUUCGAACCGGACAUAGUUCAGCUGUGAGUCCCCCGCCAAGGACAGGUUUUUAAUGAAUUUAGCACAUCGCCCAAGGGCGAGUGUUGGAGGACGUCUGCGGCGCUGAACCCGAAGAUCGAUGACCGAUCCAGCUCGGUGUCUGCAGGCGUACGUGGUUCGGAAUUCAUAGCCGGAAACGAGUCCGGAAUUCCGUUGACGCAGAUAUUCCCAGGUGUUGAGUCUGUGUGCAGCUCCGACGCCACGGACUCUAUGGCUUCAGAUGGUGCAAUCAGCUCCAGAUCUAAGGCCGUAGCAGUUACAGGAACCAUCUCCUGAAUCUGGUCCGAUGACAGAUUUAAGUCAUGUUCAUCGGAGCGAGGGGGAGCGAUCGCCGCGGUCUCAAAUCCAUUGAAGAUCAAGUCUCCACGGAUAUCCGCAACGUAGUUCAAGCUUCCAAAUCUGACCUGGUGGCCAGGGGCGUAACCAUCGAUCUGCUCCAGAUGGCCAAGCGAGUUGGCCCGCAGUACGAAGCCACCGAAUACGAAAAUCUGUCCGGGGAGGAAGGUUUCUCCCUGGGCAGCGUCACUAUGGACGAUCGAAGGGGCCAUUGAACCUUUCGUCGACGGCACAGUGGAACUCUCAAUAAAAGCAUCAAUGUCGGUGUCAAAAUCGGCGGAUCUCGGGUAGGGGGUCCCGAACUGUGCGUCUAGGGUCGAUGGCUACAUGAGACAGGGGACACGAUGUUUACCUUGGUUCGGGCCCUCUCUAUGGAGGUAAUACUCUACUUCCUGCUUGAUUGAUCUUGAUGAAUAUGAGUGUUACAAGAGUUGAUCUACCACGAGAUCGUAAUGGCUAAACCCUAGAAGUCUAGCCUAUAUGACUAUGGUAAUGAGUUUAUGCUUUCCGGACUACACCCUCCGGUUUAUAUAGACACCGGGGGGAUCUAGGGUUACAUAGAGUCAGUUACAUAAGAAGGAAUCUUCAUAGUUGAUCGCCAAGCUUGCCUUCCACGCCAAGGAGAGUCCAAUCCGGACACGGGUACAGUCUUCGGCCUUCAUGUCUUCACAGCCCAUCAGUUCGACCCAUGGAUAACAGACCGGACGCCCGAGGACCCCUUAGUCCAGGACUCCCUCAGCCACCCGUUACCGUUCUGCGAGCGAAACAAACACACAAAAGAGAAGUUUAUUUUGAAAAUUAGAGAUGGCACAUGCAAAUUUUCUUAGAACGGCAAAAGAAUACCGCAUAUAGGUAGAUAUAGUGGACUCAUGUGGCAAAACUGGCUUAAAGGAUUUUUGGAUGCACAAGUAGAAGUCAUACUUAGUGCAAAAUGAAGGCUAGCAAAAAGAUUGAGAAGCGACCAACAAGAAACGAAUAAUCUCAUAAGCAAGCAUUAGCAUAAUUAACACCGAAUAAUGCACCACAAGUAGGAUAUAAUUUUCAUUGCAUGAUUAUUGACUUUCGUGCAUGCAUAGGGAAUCACAAACCUUAACACCAAUAUUCUUACUAGAGCACAAUUACUUAUCAACAUAACUCACAUAUCACAUCAUCAUAUCUCAAAACUAUUACUAAGAAUCAAGUUUAUUUUGUCCAAUGAUCUUCAUGACAUUUUUUCCUUUUUCUUUAUCCUUCUUGGAUAUCUAUCACUUUGGGACUAAUUUUCAUGUGUUGCUUUUCAUAAGCUCAAACAAGUAUAAGUGAAGAUCAUGAGCAUAACAAAUUUUCUUUCUCUCAAAAUAAUUUAAGUGAAGCAAGAGAAUUUCUUCAAAAUUUUACUAACUCUCAAAUAAAUCUAAGUGAAGAAAGAGAGCAUUUCUUCAAAAAUACUAAGCACACCGUGCUCAAAAAGAUAUAAGUGAAGCACUAGAGCAAGUCCUAGCUCAUAAAAGAUUUAAGUGAAGCACGGAGAGCAAUUCUAACAAGUCAUGAAAUAAUUUUGGCUCUCUCAAAUAGGUGUGUCCAGCAAGGAUUGAUGACUUAAAACACAAAAUAAAACAAGCAAAGACAUAUAUCAUACAAGACGCUCCAAGCAAAACACAUAUCAUGUGACGAAUAAAAAUAUAGUCUCGAGUAAAAUACCGAUAGUUGUUAGAAGAAAGAGGGGAUGCCACUCGGGGGCAUCCCCAAGAUUAGUUGGUUGCCCAUUAUUGGAUAAUAUCUUGGGAUGCCGGGGCAUCCCCAAGCUUAGGCUCUUCUAUCCGUCUUUCAUCCAUCGUAAGAUAACCCAAAACUUGAAAACUUCAAUCACACAAAACUCAACAAAACCUUUGUGAGAUCCGUUAGUAAAAGAAAGCAAACCACUACUAUAAGUGUUGUAUCAAACCAAUUCAUAUUUUGUUUUUGUAUUAUAUCUACUGUAUUCCAAAUUUUCUAUGGCAAAAACUCAUCAAAGAAAACCAUAGAUCCGUCAAAAUAAGCACACAACACAAAGAAAACAGAAUCUGUCAAAACAGAACAGUCUGUACUAAUCUGACUUUUGCGAAUACUUCUGGAACUCCAAAAAUUCUACCAAAUUAGGUAACCAGGGUAAUUUGUAUAUUAAUCUUCUUCAAAAAGAAUCAGGGCAAAAUAUCUUUUCUGUGAUUUAUGAAAAUUAUUUUCGUAAGCACAAAGUUUCUGUCUUUUUCAGCAAGAUCAAACAACUAUCACCCAAGAAGAUCCUAAAGGCUUUAGUUGGCACAAACACUGAUUAAAACACAAAAAACACAAUCAUACCAGUAGAAUAAUUGUGCAAACACACAAAAACCAAAAGUAAAAAGAAAAAAUAAAUUGUAUUCAUUGGGUUGCCUCCCAACAAGCGCUAUAGUUUUACGCCCUUAGCUAGGCGUAAGGCAAGGAUCUAAGUUUUGUCAUCUUUGGUUCGAGAUCCAUAAGAUACCCUCAUGAUUGAUUCAUAAGGUGGCCUAAUUUUUGUUCUAGGAAAGUGUUCCAUACCCUUCCUCAAAGGAAAUUGGAACUUGAUAUUGCCUUCUUUCAUAUCAAUCACGGCACUGAUAGUGCGUAAAAACGGUCUACCAAGAAAAAUUGGACAAGACGGAUUGCAAUCAAUAUCAAGAACAAUAAAAUCUAUGGGCACAUAGUUCCUAUUUGCAAGAAUAAGAACAUCAUUAAUUCUUCCCAUAGGCUUUUUAAUAGUAGAAUCCUCCAAGUGCAAAUUCAAGGAACAUUCUUCAAGAUUGGUAAGACCAAGCACAUCACAUAAAGAUUUCGGAAUUGUAGAAACACUAGCACCCAAGUCACACAAAGCAAAACACUCAUAAUUUUUAAUCUUGACUUUGAUAGUAGGUUCCCAUUCAUCAUGCAAUUUUCUAGGAAUUGAAACUUCUAAUUCCAAUUUUUCUUCCAAAGCUUUCAUCAUAGCAUCAACAAUAUGUUUAGUAAAAGCUUUGUUUUGUUCAUAAGCAUGGGGUGGAUUUAGCAUGGAUUGCAACAAAGAAAUACAAUCAAUCAAAGAUCAACUAUCUUAAAGUAUUUGUAAUCCAAAUGAGUGGGUGCAUCACUAACUAAAGUUUUGACCUCUCCAAACCCACUUUUAUCAAUUUUCUCAACAAGAUUUUCACCCUCCGAAAUAUUGGGACGCCUUCUACCUAAAGUUGACUCUUCUCCAGUCCCUUUUUCAUCAAUCUUAUCUUUACUAAACAGAGAAUAAAUAGAGGAAACACCAAUCAUUUUAAGAUCUUCAUAAUUUUUGCAAGAAUAAUCACUAGAAAAAGCUUUCUCUAAAAAUUCUCUUUUAGCUCUAAGCAUAGCAGUUCUUUUCUUACUUUCAUCCAUAGAAACAUAAAGAGCUUUAAUGUAUUCAUCAACUUUAGGCACAAAAAUUUUCAUUUUGAGAUUUUCCACAUCAUGAGCAAUUCUAUCAACACUUCUAGACAAAUCAUUAAUCUUAUUCAACUUUUCUUCUAUGGAAGUGUUGAAAACUUUUUGCGUGUUGAUAAAUUAUUUAAUAUUAUUCUCAAGAUCAGAGGUAUUCCUAUUAUUAUUGUAAGAUUCAUUUCCAUAGGAAUUACCAUAAUUAUUAGAGGAAUUACUAGGAAAAUGCCUAGGAUUAAAAUUUCCUCUAUAAGCAUUGUUGUUGAAAUUAUUGCAAGAAAUAAAAUUCACAUCAAUGGCAUCACUAUUUUGCUCAAUCAAAGUAGACGAAGGCAUAUCAUUAAAAUAAAUAGGAGCACUUUUACUAGCAACCAAUUUCAUAAGAGCAUCAACUUUAUCACUCAAAGAAGAAAUUUCUUCAGCCGAGUUAACCUUUUUUACUAGUAGGAGCUCUUUCGGUAUGCCAUUGUGAAUAUUUUGCCAUGAUAUUAUCAAGCAAUUUGGUGGCUUCACCCAAAGUAAUUUCCAUAAAAGUACCACCCGCGGCGGAAUCUAAAAGAUUAUGAGAAACGAAAUUCAACCCCGCAUAAAAAUUUUGUAUGAUCAUCCAAAGAUAUAACCCAUGAGUUGGGCAAUUCCUUAGCAUCAUUUUCAUCCUUUCCCAAGAUUGUGCAACAUCAAGUUGAUUGAAAUUCAUGAUCUGGGUUCUAAGGGAAAUAAUUUUUGCGGGAGAAAUACUUAGUGAUAAAAGCAUCUUUGCACUUAUUCCAAGAAUCGAUACUAUUACGAGGCAAAGAAGAGAACCGAACUUUUGCAGAAUCACGCAAAGAAAAUAGAAAUAAUUUCAUCUUGACCACAUCAUGGUCCACAUAUUUUUUCUUUUGCAUAUUGCAUAAUUCCACGAAGGUAUUAAGAUGGGAUGCGGAUCCUCAUUAGGAGUACCGGAAAAUUGGACUUUCAUAACAAGAUUCAGCAAAGCAGUAUUAAUAUCACAAGUCUCCGCACUAGUAGCGGGAGAAGCAAGCGGAGUGCCAAUAAAAUCAUUGUUGUUGGUAUUUGAGAAAUCACAUAACUUGGUGUUCUCUUGAGUCAUGAUGACUACACAACAAGAUUGCACUCAAAAACAGAUCCUGCAAGAAAACGGCGAACGGAAAAAGAGAGGCGAAUAAAACAGCAAAUUUUUGAGAAGUGGGGGAGAGGAAAAUGGAAAAUAAUGUAAAUUGCGAGGAGAUGAUAUUUGUGAUUAGGAACCUGGUUAUGUUGAAGAUCCUCCCCGGCAACGGCGCCAGAAAUUCCUUUUGAUUGCUCUCUGACUAUAGCGCCAGAAAAGCUCCUGUCUGCUAGGAAUACGUCGGUAUUUCCCCAAAGAGGAAGGGAUGAUGCAGCACAACGAUGGUAGGUAUUUCCCUCAGUGAAGAAACCAAGGUUAUCGAACCAGUAGGAGAACCAAGCAACACAACGUAAACAUCACCUGCACAGAAAUAACAACACCUCGCAACCUCACGUGUUAAAGGGGUUGUCAAUCCCUUUCGGGUAACGAUGCCAGAAAUUUGUAGUAGAUUGAAAUAAUAGGCCGCAAAUAAAAUAAAGUGCAGCAAAGUAUUUUUGUAUUUUUGGUUUAAUAGAUUUGAAUAAAAAUGCAAAGGAAAAGUAGAUCGCAAGCAAAUAGAUGAGAAAGAAGACCCCGGGGCCGUAGGUCUCACUAGUGGCUUCUCUCGAGAAAAAUAGCAAACGGUGGGUAAACAAAUUACUGUUGGGCAAUUGAUAGAACUUCAAAUAAUUAUGAUGAUAUCCGGGCAAUGAUCAUUACAUAGGCAUCACGUCCAAGAUUAGUAGACCGACUCCUGCCUGCAUCUACUACUAUUACUCCACACAUCGACCGCUAUCCAGCAUGCAUCUAGUGUAUUAAGUUCAUGGAAAAACGAAGUAAUGCAAUAAGAACGAUGACAUGAUGUAGACAAGAUCCGUUUAUCUAUGCAUAGAUAUAGAUCCCAUCUUUUUAUCCUUAGUAGCAACGAUACAUACGUGUCGUUUCCCUUUCUAUCACUGGGAUCAAGCACCGUAACAUCAAACCCACUACCGGGCACCUCUUCCCAUUGCAAGAUAAAUAGAUCAAGUUGGCCAAACAAAACCAAAAUAUCGGAGAAGAAAUACGAAGCUAUAAGAGAUCAUGCAUAUAAGAGAUCAAAGAAACACAAAUAACUUUCAUGGAUAUAAAAAGAUAUAACUGAUCAUAAACUCGAAGUUCAUCAGAUCCCAACAAACACACCGCAAAAAGAGUUACAUCAUAUGGAUCUCCAAGAGGCCAUUGUAUUGAGAAUUCAGCGAGAGAGAGAGAGAAAGCCAUCUAGCUACUAACUACGGACCCGAAGGUCUACAAAGAACUACUCACGCAUCAUCAGAGAGGCACCAAUGGAGGUGGUGAACCCCAUCCAAGAUGGUGUCUAGAUUGGAUCUGGUGCUUCUGGACUCUGCGGCGGCUGGAUGUAUAUUUCGUCGACUCCCCUAGGGUUUCUGGAUUUUUGGGGUAUUUAUAGAGCAAAGAGGCGGUCCGGGGGGCACCUGAGGUGGGCACAACCCACCAGGGCGCGCCUGGGCCUCCUGGCGCGCCCUGGGGGGUUGUCCCCUCCUCGGGACUCCCCCCCCAGGUGCAACCAGGGCCCGUUGUGUUCCUUCUGGCCCGUAAAAAAUCAUCGUGGAGUUUCAUGGCAUUUGGACUCCAUCUGAUAUUGAUUUCCUGCGAUGUAAAAAACAUGGAAAAAACAACAACUGGCACUUGGCACUAUGUCAAUAGGUUAGUACCAAAAAAUGAUAUAAAAUGAUUAUAAAGCAUCCAAGAUUGAUAAUAAAACAAUAUGGAACAAUCAAAAUUUAUAGAUAUGUUGGAGACGUAUCAGGGCGCCUCCGCCUCCGGGUCUGCGGAGGCCGCCCUCUUCUUCCCCUUGGGAGGAGGGUUAUCUUCUUCCUCCUCGUCUUCGUCCCCCUCAUGGGAGGAGAGAGCCUCUGUCCCUCUGGACACUGCAUCUGAAGUACCUUUAUUGCGAGGGCCACUUUCGGCCCCCUUGCCUUUCUUCUUCUCGUCCUUCUUCGCCGGCGCCUGGUAUGGCGUCGGAACCAGCAUCUUCAUUAGCAGAGGAUUGGCUGGGUCCUCAGGGAGUGGGGCCGGACACCUGAUUCGCUCCACCUUUUUCGUCCAACCCUGUUUGAAGGAGGAAUUUCUCAAUAUCUGCCCCAUUUUUGUUCUUGAACCAAGCUAUGUUCGGAAGUUUAAUACUUAUCGGGGUGGCCGGGUGGUUGCAGUCGAGGCCAAUGUCCUCGGACAUCUCCGGACACAAUUUCUGAGUCUUGAAGAGCAAUUUCCAGAUCUCUUUGUGUGUCGUGCCGAAGAAAUGCUGCAGGGUCCGCGGCCCUUCGGGAUUAAACUCCCACAUUCUGAGAGGUCGUCGCUGGCAUGGAAGGGUUCGACGGACUAGCAUCACCUGGAUUACAUCCGUAAUGCUGGUGUUCUUUUCUAUGAUACUCUUGAUGCACUUUUGCAGCAUCGGCACCUCGUCAGGCGACCCCCAGUCCAGACCUUUGUUCAUCCACGACGCGAGCCGCAGCGGGGGUCCGGAUCUGAAUGUGGGAGCGGCCGCCCGAUGUAGAACCACUCCUGCUGCCAUGUCUUGACGGUCUCCACGAAGGCCCCUUUGGGCCAGGUGACCUUGGGGAGCUUGCUCACCAUGGCGCCGCCACAAUCUGUGUGCUGCCCCUCGACCACCUUCGGCUUCACAUUAAAGACCUUGAGCUACAGGCCGAAGUGUGGGGGGAUGCGGAGGAAUGCCUCACACACGACGAUAAACGCCGAGAUGUGAAGGAAGGAGUUUGGGGCUAGAUCAUGAAAAUCUAUCCCGUAAUAAAACAUAAGGCCGCGAACAAAGGGAUGGAGGCUAAACCCUAACCCGCGGAGAAAGUGAGGUAUGAACAUGGCCCUCUCACCGAGCUUUGGUGUGGGGAUGACUUGCUCUUUUGCAGGGAGCCUGUGUUUGAUUUCCGUGGUCAGGUACCUCGCUUCCCGAAGCUCUUUGAUGUUCUCCUCCAUCACGGAGAAGGCCAUCCACUUGCCUUGAGCACCGGAUCCAGACAUUGCUGGAAGGAUUGGUGGCGGUGGGAAAGGUUGAAGCUUGGGCGCUAGAGCUCGAGGAUGGGAAGGCAGAGGAGGGAAGAGGGCUUGGGGUGAGAGGUUGGAUCUUUAUCCGUUUAUAUAGGCCGUGAAUAUCAAGUGCCCCCCCUCAAGUAUUAAAACUCGCCUGUUCCCAAAGGGUCGUGCGAAUGGCACAAUUGGAUUACCCAAGCUCGUGUUGAUGAGAAUCCCGCAAUAAGGGGACACGAUCUCUGCUUUGACAAGACGUGUCAAUAGAGGCGGUGCCUCGAAACCCGGGACGGGAGGCCAAAAAACGGUUCGAUAUAAUGAUAAGGCCGGAUGCAACGUCUCGCCGAAAAAGCUGUCAGUGGACAUGGAUUAUUUUGUUCAAGUAUUUUGCCCUUAUGGUCUAGGGUUGUAACUAUUUUACGGAGCCGGAUAUAGUUCUCUUGUUCAACUGCUUUAAUGUAUUCGGAGGAGGAAUCCGCCUUGCAAUGCCGAAGGCAAUCUGCGCGCCGGAUACAUCGCCAUUGAAGCCUAGUUCAGGGGCUAUUGAGGGAGUCCUGGAUUAUGGGGUCCUCGGGGAGCCGGCUUGUACUACAUGGGCCGGACUGAUGGGUCAUAAAGAUACGAGACAGAAGACCUUCUCCCGUGUCCGGAUGGGACUCUCCUUUGCGUGGACGGCAAGCUUGGCAUCAGGAUGUAUAGUUUCCUUUCUCUGUAAACCGACUCUGUACAACCCUAGGCCCCUCCGAUAUCUAUAUAAACCGGAGGGGUUUAGUCCGUAGAGACUAAGACAAAUCAUACAUGCUAGAAAUCUAGGGUUUAGCCAUUACGAUCUCGAGGUAGAUCGACUCUUGUAACCCCUAUACUCAUAAAAGUCAAUCAAGCAGGAAGUAGGGUAUUACCUCCAUCAAGAGGGCCCGAACCUGGGUAAACAUCAUGUCCCCUGCCUCCUGUUACCUUCGAUCCUCAGACGCACAGUUCGGGACCCCUACCCGAGAUCGGCCGGUUUUGACACCGACACCCGCUGCUGCCAAGGUGUAGUUAGACAUUGUUCUUCGAGGUGGAUCAAGCUCUUCUGGUCUGUGUGGAUGAUGAACUCGUUGUGCUGUAGACCGCCAUUUGUCGACUGCAACCACAAUAGCCAGGUAUUCUUUCUCAUAGGUGGAGAGUCCUUAGUAACGGGGACUUAAGCUCUUGCUCAUGUAGGCAAUAGGGUGACUAUCUUGCUGAAGUACUGCUCCAAUCCCUCUAUCGCACGCAUCUGUUUCAAUGGUAAAUGGGCGGUUGAAGUUUGGUAGGGCGAGAACCGGCGCCGAAGUGAGUUGCUGCUUCAACAAGGUGAAUGCUUGCGCAGUGUUGUCGGUUCAGACAAAUGGAGUCCCCUUCUUCAACAGGUUGAACAGGGGACGGGUGAUGACACCGAAACCACGGACAAAUCCACGGUAAUAACCCGCAAGGCCCAGGAAACAACGCACCUCCUUGGCAUCCUGGGGCACGGGCCAUGCUUAAACUGCUUGUAUCUUGGUCGGGUCGGUGGCUACCCCCUUGUCGUUGAUCACGUGCCUGAGGUAUGAGAGUUGCCUCUAUCCAAACUCGCACUUUGCUAGCUUCACCUUCCAUUGGUCACGACGCAGCAAAGCCAACACCUUUCGGAGAUGAUCUAGAUGCUCUUUCCACGUUUUGCUGAAGACAAGGAUGUCAUCAAAGAAUAGGAGCACACAGUAACGCAACAGAGGAUGAAAUGUGUCUGUCAUGGCCCCCAAGAAGGUGGGCGCCCCCCACCCCCGCGAGUCCGAAGGACAAAACCUUGAACUCAUAGUGCCCUGUGUGCGUCUGGAAGGCUGUCUUGUACUCUUUACCUUCUACAAGACGAAUCCGCUGAUAACCAGCCCGGAGAUCGAGCUUGGAGAACCAGGCUGCCCCAUGCAGCUCAUCCAACAACUCUUCGAGGAUAGGCACUGGGAAUUUGCUAACACAAGUCAUGGCGUUGAGAUGCCUAUAAUCGAUGCAGAGACGCCAGGUUCCGUCCUUCUUUUUGACCAAAAUGACAGGGGAGGAGAAACUGCUAUGGUUGCGCUGUAUCACUCCAGAAUUCAACAGCUCCUCGACCUGCCACUCUAUCUCCGACUUGAGUUCUGGUUUGUGCCUGUACGGUCGUAUGUUCACCGGUUGAGCGCCUGGCAUGAGAGGAAUCUUAUGGUCGCAGACACGACGCGGUGGCAGCCCCGUAGGUUCACCAAACACAUCCUUGAACUCGUCCAAUACGCACUGCAAGUCUGGUGGAGUGGUGGGGGUGGUGGGGCAGUCCUCCGAUAUUGGGUACAGCAGAACCAUAUGCAGCAGAGAACCUUGACGACACAUGUUCUGGAGCUGGAGGCUGCUGAUCAGAUGACAAUUAGUAGUGUUGGCCUCGUGGCCGAACAGGCGAGCCGGACCCAGCGGAGUUGGAAUUUGGAUGACCUUUUUCUUCCAAUCAACGGUCAUCGGGCUAUGCAGCUCUAGCCAAUCCAUGCCGAGAAUUGCAUCAUAAGCACCCAGCGGGAGGAUCUUCAUGUCUGUGAUGAAUUCUUGCCCUUGAGAUGCCCAUUUGCAGGCCGGCAGUACUGCUGAACAGGUGAGUUCGCCGCCGUCCGCCACAUGGACGCGGCAGGGUUGCUACAGAGGCACGACCCCCGAUAGUUGCUGGGCCAGCUCUUGGUUGAUGAACGAGGUGGAGCUCCCGCUAUCCACCAGCAACAUGACCUCUUGCCUUUGAAUGGAUGCCAGCAGCUGGAAAGCCUGUGGUGAAACGGUGCCGUCGAGAGCCGGCCGGGAUAUGGCCAUCACCAUGUCGCUCGGCGCCGUGCCAUCGCUCGGUGGGGAUGAAGAGUCGAUGCCGAAGAGCUCGAGCAUCUCCUCGACGACGUGCAGCUUGAUACGUCUCCAACGUAUCUAUAAUUUAUGAAGUCUUCAUGCUAUUAUAUUAUCAAUCUUAGAUGUUAUAUGCAUUUAUAUGCUAUUUUAUAUGAUUUUUGGGACUAACCUAUUAACCUAGAGCCCAGUGCCAGUUUCUGUUUUCUCCUUGUUUUUGAGUUUUACAGAAAAGGAAUAUCAAACGGAGUCCAAUUGACAUGCCAAUUUUUGAUGAUUUUUUAUGGACCAAAAGAAGACCCCGGAGUAAAAGAGUUGGGCCAGGAGAGUCCCGGGGCGUCCACGAGGGUGGGGGGCACGCCCACCCCCCAGGCAAGUGGGCCUGCCUCGUGGACACCUCGGGCACCUCCUUGACGUGAGACCGACGCCAAAAAUUCCUAUAAAUACAGAAACCUCGGAAAAUCAACCUAGAUCGGAAGUUCCGCCGCCGUAAGCCUCUAUAGCCACGAGAAAUCAAUCUAGGCCCUCUCCGGCACCCUGCCGGAGGGGGCCAUCAUCACCGGUGGCCAUGGAGGAGGAUCCCGGAGGGGCCAUCAUCACCAUGAAGGCCAAGGACCAGAGGGGGAGGCCAUGGAGGAGGAAGCACAAGGGGGAGAACCUCUCCUCCUCUCUCUUGGUGGCACCGGAGUGCCAUCGAGAGGGGAAUCAUCGCCGCGGUGAUCGUCUUCAUCAACAUCACCACCAUCAUCACCAUCCUCAUCUCUUUUACGCGGUCCACUCUCCCGCACCCCGCUGUAAUCCCUACUUGAACAUGGUUCUUUAUGCCACAUAUUAUGAUCCAAUGAUGUGUUGCCAUCCUAUGAUGUUUUGAGUAGAUAUCUUUUGUCCUUGGGUUGAUUGAUGAUCUAGAUUGGUACGAGUUGUAUGUUUUACUUUGGUGCUGUCCUAUGGUGCCCUCCAUGUCGCGCAAGCGUGAGGGAUUCCCGCU
RNAcentral lists this long non-coding RNA (25569 nucleotides) under Triticum aestivum (bread wheat). RNAcentral's name for it is "long non-coding RNA (TAES_LNC008819)". Lineage: Eukaryota; Viridiplantae; Streptophyta; Magnoliopsida; Poales; Poaceae. The record is from RNAcentral.